RNAcentral lists this ribosomal RNA (253 nucleotides) under uncultured bacterium. RNAcentral describes it as "partial 16S ribosomal RNA". It matches the Rfam family "Bacterial small subunit ribosomal RNA", at positions 524 to 776 of the family's 1533-position model. The record is from RNAcentral.
UACAGAGGGUGCUAACGUUGUUCGGAAUCACUGGGCAUAAAGCGCACGUAGGCGGCUUGGUAAGUGCGGUGUGAAAGCCCCCGGCCUAACCGGGGAACUGCAUCGCAGACUGCCAGGCUCGAGAGCGGGAGGGGAGACUGGAACUCCUGGUGGAGCGGUGAAAUGCGUAGAUAUCAGGAGGAACACCUGCGGUGUAGACGGCUUACUGGACCAUCACUGACGCUGAGGCACGAAAGCGUGGGUAGCAAACAGG